Molecule: long non-coding RNA, 791 nt
Filed under: Apis florea (little honeybee)
Lineage: Eukaryota; Metazoa; Arthropoda; Insecta; Hymenoptera; Apidae
Description: uncharacterized LOC100863178, transcript variant X2
Source: RNAcentral
AUUCUCUUCAAAUAAUUUUAUGCAACCAAUCCAAGCGCAUAUCUAACUAAGCAAAGGGGUGAAUCCAAUCCUGUUCUCUAACCUUCCUUCGCGAUGACCUUAGCCAACCGCUCAUCAUUCCACCAAGCACGUAUUGCUCGGCUGAUUUGCAUAAGACCGGAAUGCUGAAGAUGAAACCACAUUCUUCGUGCCACUUAAUAGCAAUGAAAGAACGUCUAAUCGUUCUAUUCGGUAGACGUCUUUGACUGUCUCGACUACUAUUUUGCGAUGUUUGGAAUUGUAUGGUAAUCGCACGUUCAAAAUAGCGCUACUCAUCGCCAUGUUCACUCUUUUUAUCGAUGAAAUCAAUUUCAAUUGAUGAACAAUCAUAGCACAUUAUUGCCAUUUCAUUCUGUUCGCGUUAUCGCAAAGACACAAGAAUUUCUUCUCUGAUGGAUGCUAAAGGGUUAAUAGUUGAUGAUUGUCCAACGAAGAAAACGUUCUUUCACGCGAGGUCAAAGAAGAAAAGGGGGCAGUAAAGAUCAAGGAGCUCCAUUAAAUUCGAAGCAGAUGCAUAUAAAAGAAAUAUGCCCAUUUCAUAAAUUACAUGAUAAUAUAAACCGAAAUUACUGAUUCAACCUUAUAUAAUCGUAAAUUUGAUGGGCCAAAAAUGUAAGUCUGAAAGAAGAUAAAUCCAAAGAAGAAUUCUUGAAUUCUUUUGCCAACCUUCUUUUAUAACCAUUCAAAUCAAAUAUUGAUAGACUUUUGAAUUCUAUAUUAAACUAAUAAAAUGAGUAUGAAGAAUAGAUAAU